CUUGCCGGGAAGGUGCCUUAAAACUCACAGGCCUAAGGUUGGGUGGAGAAAAUUGUGUCUGGCUGUGUCUUAGACUGCAGAUCUGGGAAAGAAACCACUCAUUCAUGAAGAGUUUUUUUUUAAAUAACUUUAUUAUCAAACACACAAAUUUAAAACCAUUCAAAGAAGAACAAUGCAAGGGGAAAAAAAAACUACAAUAAUAUUCAAAUACAGUAGAACUCAACCAAAACAAAACUGAAAAGCACCUAAACAUUUUUCCAUAUAACUUAAAAGAGAAUCCCAAGCACCAACAAGACACCAGAGGAUGUGAUUUGCUUCAGAAAGAUCCCCCAAACCAGCACUGGACAAAUAAUGAUCUGGAAAAAAACUCCAGUUAGUUAGUGACUCCACAGAAGCCAAGCUUCUCCCAUAAACACAAUGUUUUCUUUGACGCAAUCAUUUUUUCUUUCAUUAUGUUUUAUUGUUUUCAUCUUUCCUUCAUUGGGUUUUGGAAGGUUUGGGGAUUUUUCCCUUUUUCCCUUAGUUAGUUUCUUCUCCUUUUCCGCUUUCAAUUUUUUCUCUUCCUUCUUCAUUUCUUGUACUUUGCUCUCUGUUCUGUCUUUCCUUUUCCUUGCUCACUCCUCUCUGUGGCUGUCCUUUAACAUCACUAAUUUCCUUUCACCCCUCAAUAAGACACCUAUCUCACCUUUUCCCUAUUUCUCAUAUCUCAUUAUCAAAUUUUGCUUUUCUCAUUCUCCGUUCCCAACCCCCUCUACCUUUACUAGUAUAACUAAGUGUCAGGUAAAAGGGCGAAGACCAAGACCAGACCAGGCCACAACAAGCCUUUAUUGCAGGGAUGAUCUGCCGGGCUGUCUCUGAACAAAGGAGAGACAAAAGCAAUAUGGCCGGGCAGGGAGAGUCUUUUAUGGAGACUGGGGUGGGGCUUGUAGGGCCUGAGGCGGGGUUGAGUGAGGGAGUGACUAGGGAAUGGAGGAGCCGGUGAAGUCACUAGGUGGUAGGAGGUGAGCGAGUAUUAGGUUACUGUCUAGGUGGGACCAGGGGCAUGCUGGGAAGAAGGGUUUGUUCUUUGGUGGGAGCAACCAUCUUGGCAUGACGUCACACAGGGGAGGGGCAAGGCACCAUAGGAAGAGGGCAGCU
RNAcentral lists this long non-coding RNA (1137 nucleotides) under Heterocephalus glaber (naked mole-rat). Its description in RNAcentral is "lncRNA (ENSHGLG00100038104.1)". Lineage: Eukaryota; Metazoa; Chordata; Mammalia; Rodentia; Bathyergidae. The record is from RNAcentral.